This 481-nucleotide ribosomal RNA is filed under the name Ostorhinchus nigrofasciatus (blackstripe cardinalfish). RNAcentral describes it as "partial small subunit ribosomal RNA". It matches the Rfam family "Bacterial small subunit ribosomal RNA", at positions 788 to 1491 of the family's 1533-position model. Lineage: Eukaryota; Metazoa; Chordata; Actinopteri; Kurtiformes; Apogonidae. The record is from RNAcentral.
CACUAUGCCUAGCCUUAAACUUAGAUAGGACACUACCUUUACCUAUCCGCCCGGGAACUACGAGCACCAGCUUGAAACCCAAAGGACUUGGCGGCGCUUCACAUCCAUCUAGAGGAGCCUGUUCUAGAACCGAUAACCCCCGUUCAACCUCACCUUCUCUUGUCCCCCACAGCCUAUAUACCGCCGUCGUCAGCCCACCCUGUGAAGGCCCAGUAGUGAGCAAAAUUGGCACAGCCCAAUACGUCAGGCCGAGGUGUAGCGUAUGAGAAGGGAAGAAAUGGGCUACAAUUGCUUAAACAGCUAAAACGAAUUGUAACGCUGAAAAUGCAAACAUGAAGGAGGAUUUAGAAGUAAGGGGGUAAGCAGAGUGUCCCCCUGAAUUGGCUCUGAAGCGAGCACACACCGCCCGUCACUCUCCCCAAGCUAUUUUACUUAACAAUAACUAAACAUUUCAACCCUGCUAAGGGGAGGCAAGUCGUAA